UGGGGAAUUUUGGACAAUGGGCGAAAGCCUGAUCCAGCAAUGCCGCGUGUGUGAAGAAGGCCUUCGGGUUGUAAAGCACUUUUGUCCGGAAAGAAAUCCUUGGCUCUAAUACAGUCGGGGGAUGACGGUACCGGAAGAAUAAGCACCGGCUAACUACGUGCCAGCAGCCGCGGUAAUACGUAGGGUGCAAGCGUUAAUCGGAAUUACUGGGCGUAAAGCGUGCGCAGGCGGUUGCUAAGACCGAUGUGAAAUCCCCGGGCUCAACCUGGGAACUGCAUUGGUGACUGGCAGGCUAGAGUAUGGCAGAGGGGGGUAGAAUUCCACGUGUAGCAGUGAAAUGCGUAGAGAUGUGGAGGAAUACCGAUGGCGAAGGCAGCCCCCUGGGCCAAUACUGACGCUCAUGCACGAAAGCGUGGGGAGCAAACAGGAUUAGAUACCCUGGUAGUCCACGCCCUAAACGAUGUCAACUAGUUGUUGGGGAUUCAUUCCUUAGUAACGUAGCUAACGCGUGAAGUUGACCG
RNAcentral lists this ribosomal RNA (521 nucleotides) under uncultured bacterium. RNAcentral's name for it is "partial 16S ribosomal RNA". It matches the Rfam family "Bacterial small subunit ribosomal RNA", at positions 355 to 871 of the family's 1533-position model. The record is from RNAcentral.